GCCAAGUUCUUCUGCUGCAGUCAUGCAGUAUGACCUGAGGGCAGUAUUUAGGGGCAACACCAUCAUUCAUUAAAUGCCUCAAUUACUUGAUAUUAAUUAGCUGCCUUAAAGGCAAUUGUGGUAUAUUUAUUUAUGUUACUAUAUGAAUUGUCAGUACAACACAGUGCUGUAACAAAAAGUUGCUUUUGCUGCUUACCGCUUUUAACCUGUUACCAAAAAAAUCCUUUUUUCUUAAUGAAGCUAACAUGGAACAUACAGGAGUUUGUGAAAAGCACACAAAGUGUUAGGGUUUGUUCGCUGUCCACUUUUUCUGGCCAGGAUGACUAUUAGAGUUGAGUUUGUCAGAGGUACUUACGUGAACAUUUGUCUUUUUUGUGGAAAAGAUCCUUGUUUAGUGCUGAUUUAAACUUCUCUAGAAAAAGCAACCUUAUGCAGUGGCCUUCCCCAGCCCCACUUCAAACUCAGGGUAUUUAAGAGUAGUUAAUCUCUUAAAGUAAAUUCAGAAGAAUGUUUUUCCUGACUUUGAUGUUUUAAUUACCUCUCCUAGUUGCCUGUUUCUGGGAGACUGACAUACUGUUGUGACUGUCACAGUGAAAAGUAUGAUUUAUGCUGACAGCUUGUUUUAUCUUUCUAAGAGAUGAAACAACUUAACUUGAAGUAGAGGAAAUAGGUGGCUAGCAGCUAGUUUAGUUCUUCUUGUGUAGCUUCAAGUGUUAAUAUUACUUCGUUUGGAAAUUUUAUGCAAGAACAACUUGAAUUUUGUACACUUUUACUUACAUUUUGAUUUUGUAUACAGUUAUGUAUGCAUAUUACUGAAAAUAAAAAUGGUUGGUUGAUUUGUUUCUAGUCAAGUUAUGCUGGAUAAAUUCGUGGAACAUACUAUGUUGGCACUUCUGUGUUCAGUUCUCUGUUUUACCUGUUCAGCUGGAAUAAUUGUGGACUUUGAAAAGACAAGAAGCUACCCCAUUUCUGGUUUUCAGAAAGUUACUAAAACUAGGUAUGUUGAUACUUGGAAUUAUGAUUGGCUACAGAUACUCGUCCUAGAUAUUAUUACAACAGCAUAUAUGCCAAUUUUGCUUACAGUAUUGCAACAUGAAUCUGAUGCAUUUGGGUAGCUCUGAAUUUGUUGGAUGUAUGCUAUAUGGGAUGUGCAUAUUGAUUUCUGCCAGGGAGACAAUAGCUGUGGUAAAGGGUGGUAAUUUUUGUUGCAUGGGGAUGCAAACUCCAUUUAGAGAUAAAAAUGGAAGCCCUUGAUGUCUUAUACAUCGUGACAUUAUUUCUCAUCUGAGCAAAUCUUAUCUUUUACCUGAAAUUUGUAAUUGAAUUUACUUUUGGAUAGAAGUAUUUAAGGCAAAUGUAGACAAAAUACCAUUUUUGAGUAAUGCUAGUGCAAAGCUUCUGAAGGAUGUUCUUCUGUAGCCUUCAAGGCAGAUGUAAAAUGAUUUAUGCCUGCCUUCUGCUAUUGUUGUUACCUAGUUCAAGAGGGGGUUUUGUUUUGUUUGGACCAAUCUUCAAACAUGUUUCCUGUUGUGUUUUCCAGCAAGCUGAACAUGGAGAAAAGGUUCAAAAGUGCACCCUUUAUUAAUAAUUACAAGUGCGUGCUGUGUAGUGAAUGUGUUUUGUUUUCUGUCAAGGAAAUCUUGGAAGCCUUCAAGUGGAGAGACAAAGUGGAUAAAUAAGGAGGAAGGCAAUUGCCAAUAGGAGAUACAUCUAAGGAAUAAACAGCUUUGGGAGCUUGUCAAAUUAAGGUUUGCCUUCACCAAUGCCUUGCAGGGCGCCCAGGUUGCCCCUGGACCUAGGGGCCACAGCCUGAAACCCAGUGAAUGUUGCAGAAAGAUGAAAGGAAGUGAAAUUACUUACCAGCUACCAGCGUUCUCCUUCACUCACAAAUUCUUCAAGUCCAGGUACUAAGGUGUUUUCCUUAUUUGACUCUUGGUGUCAUUGCUUUCUGGCAGUUAGUAGUGGAGGAAAAAGGGAUUUCCAGAUACUGUUGGCAAUACCAUGAGCAAAUUUGUAGUACUUCAUGGGGCAGGAAACAGAGCUGCUUUGACCAAUUUAGUGUGUGCUAUUUGCAUAAUGCCAUAUUGCUUCAUUACCUCUGUCCAUUCUUGGCAAGGCUGAGGUGGCACCUCAUGUUCUAGUAUCUGAGCAAUUCUUACCAUCUGGUAAAUUUGUCGGUAAAGAGCCCCAUUACCAUCUGAUGCAAGUGGAAGUUUUGCUAUACUCUUGUUGACCAAUUUUUAGCGUAGCCUGAAGGGAAAUUGUUCCAUUACCCAGAUGCACACAAAUGUGUGAUAAAGAAAACAAGCUGAGUAGUAAUUGUCAUUUGAAGUGACCUAAAUUAAUGUCCUAAUUCCAGCAGUUACUCAAACCUGUGCAGACAGGAACCUCAGGAAGAGAGGGGAGGAUGAUGGGGCUGCAAUUAAAUCUUUGGGGCACAGACAGUUCUUUGUCUUUGCACUGAAAUCCUGUGGGAAUGUGCUAACUACAUAGCAGUGAUCACACUGAAAGCAAAACCUGGAGAGUGGACAGUGGGUGGUAGCUAACCAGAAAACUCCAGUUUCAUAGAAAUCCAAGUUGUGUUUUGCUUUUUGAUCUGAGUCUAAUACUGUGUUGAAGAAGGGUAUGUGGAGUUCCAUGUUAAAAUGUGAAUGAACUUCCCCGAUAUUCUGGUAUUUAUUACAGUUUAUCUGUGUUGGAGGUGAGCUGGCCUUGUGAUGUUUCUGUUUUGUGUCUAUGUUCUACAGAAGCACAUGGAGAGUGACCGACCCCUGCCUAGCAGAUUUGACCUUGGAGUGCCAAAUGUGCUGCGUGUGGGAAGAGUCCUGAGAAACUCCAAAGGACAGCGCUUGGUGGUCCUGCAGCAUCUAGUUAGGGUGGAACACUGAGAACUUCAGAAGACUCACCUGGAGGCUUUCGGGAAGGGGAGCAGGGCCUGAUAAUGUUUACAGUUUACACACCUUUUGUUAUAUGUUUUUUUCCAUUCAUGGGGUUGGAUUAAAAUUGUAAGAGCUUUUGAACUCAUUUGCUGGGAGGAGCUUGCUCUUUGCAGGGACAGUUUGGUGGUACAGUUGUGACAGCAAAUCCUCCUUAGUGCAGACAGUUCUGCAGUGGAGGGGGAAAAAGGCAACUGAAGCUUCUUACAUUCUGCUUUCCUCAGAGGUCUUGAUGAAGUCUGGUGGUAAAGCAUCUGUCAGCUUUGUAAAUGUGACUGAUUUGUAUUUAUGGCAGUUUACCUUUCCUGAGGUAACUAAGGCAGUGAUCUGUGAAGGCCUCGAUGCUUUUCCUUUUAACUGGGUUUAUAUCUUAUAUACACACAUGUUGCAUCUCUUCAUCUGCUAUAAAAACAUUUUUUUUUGCUCAGGGUGACUUUAAUACUGUCAUGUGCUGGGUUGUCUCCAAAGCACCUACUUUAAGACCUGAAGUAAAAGAGGAAUGGCUGAUAGGAUCCAGAAAACCCAUACUUCUGGAUUUCUCCUUACAUCUCUGGUUGCUGGGUUGAUGUGACACAUGUGUAACAGGCGUCUGCUGAUGCACCCUAUUCUGGAGAGCCAGGUCUUGCCCUGAGGUCUCUUAUGCAGACAGGGUAGACCUGCCAAGGCUUGGUGCCCCUCCAGCUAGAGUUCAUUCACGAGUUCCCAGAAACGUGUUCUCGUGAGGAACAUGUUCUUUGUGUUUCCAGUGGGAAGCUGGCUACAGCCUAUUUAUGUAUUUUAGCUUACACGACAUGUGGCUAAAAACAGAUAACCCAGAAAAACAGCAUCAUAGUUGCUAGGCUGUAGCUAUUUUGUUUGAUCUUUUGGCUCCAUAAAUCUCACAUUCUUGACAACAAUCUUAACAGGAAACUCGCUGACUCAGGCUCUCUUGGGAGAUGGGCAAUAGCAUAACCUUGGGGUGGGGAAGGGCUGAGGCCUGGGCUUUUGACAUCCUAAGGACAGAUACUGAUUAGAAGACUUCUGUUAACAACAUGAGAAGUAUCACCUCCUUGUCUCACAACCCUGUUAUAGCGAAUAACUGAGCAGCCAGGGGCUCACCUUAGGGAGAUUUUGGUGAGCUCAGAGCCUCAGUGGAAGUGCUAGUGUAUGGGCACAAGUAUUUAACCUGAAAUAAUGUUGCUUCCCUUCAAAAUGGCUUUAUUUGAUUACUUAAGAUGGUGUCGAUUUAUUACAUGGUAAAGCUGGUAGUACUUGGAAAAUCAAGGUGCACAAUGCUGCACAAUGCUGGGGCUUUCUUAGCCUGAGUAACUGCUUGUGACUUAAUUUUGGAUUAUAAGCCAGCUUGCAAAAUUCUGUUCCCAGUUAGAGUGGUUUUCUUUGAGAAUACACUAUGUCAGUAAUUCCACUUUGCCAUGUCACUUACAGAGUCACUGCUGUGUAACCACACCACAUUAACAGGAAGCACAGAAGUUUCAGUUCACCUGAUCUGACUAUUUGCAAGACAGAGUUGGAUAUAUGUAGGUCACUAUACAAAGUGGCAGUCUCACCAAGCAUGUGUGAUUUCACACUCUGAAUUCAAAGUACUAGCCAUUUGGUGGAAGGGCUAAUAGCGGUAUGUUUGGUGGUGUGAGGCUGUGUACACCAAGGUGAUCUGAAUUCUCUUUUCUCCUGUCUGCAUAAACUAAAUUAUGGCUCCUGUCAGCAAGUCUUAUUAAACAUAGAAGCAAGGCUUAUGUUUUACUGACAUUGGCAGCAGUUGUCUCCAGAGGCAGGACUACUGGACUAACAUCUAUUGCACUUCCAUUAAUGCUUCUUUUUUAGUGAAUCACUGAAUCCUCCUGGCACUGCAAUGAAAGUUACUACUUCAGUGGUCCUGGGGUAGCAGUAAUAAUGUUGGUAGAAGCUGUAUAGUGUUGUCUCAACGUGUCUCUGGAUGUCUUUCUCUUGGGUGUCUGCUACAUGAAUGUUCCUGAGGUGAGAAUGAAGUUAUUUAUACCAAA
Molecule: long non-coding RNA, 4936 nt
Organism: Neopsephotus bourkii (Bourke's parrot)
Lineage: Eukaryota; Metazoa; Chordata; Aves; Psittaciformes; Psittacidae
Exons: 2
Source: RefSeq, a predicted model, not a curated record